RNAcentral lists this small RNA (494 nucleotides) under Pongo abelii (Sumatran orangutan). RNAcentral's name for it is "processed transcript". The record is from RNAcentral. Lineage: Eukaryota; Metazoa; Chordata; Mammalia; Primates; Hominidae.
CCCACACCCUCUUCAGGGAAGUGACCAAGGGGCUUGGCAGUGCCUGAAGCCAGUGGGCUGGGGACUCACAGCCGGGACACUCAGCGCCGUGCGUCGUUUCUCCUGGAAUAACUGGAGGUGAUUUAAUGGAACCUGGAGGCUGAGCUUCAGGCUGGCAGGAGCGGCUCCAGACUGGGCCUUCUCCGUGGCUCUGCUCCCCGCUGUCCUUGCUUGAGUGGUGGGGGCCCUGCGUCCUGUCAUACCCACCCCCACCUUUCUCGCCAAAUUGUCGGAGGCUUUUGUCACCUGGAGACGCUGUUCCUGCCAGCUCCGGUCUUGGAAAACAUGGCCCCUGCUGCCAGCUGGACGUGGGCAUUUCUGCACCCAGUGGAACCCCGCAGCCAGGAAAGACGCCUGGAAGGCUAGAGGAGAGGCGUGAUGGGGGGACCCCACGUGUGGCAACAGAGCAGCACACCCAGCUCUUCUCAGCUACCAUGUGGGAGAGAAAUGAUGCC